AUUGAACGCUGGCGGAAUGCUUUACACAUGCAAGUUGAACGGCAGCACGGGGCAACCUGGUGGCGAGUGGCGAACGGGUGAGUAAUAUAUCGGAACGUGCCCAAUCGUGGGGGAUAACGUAGCGAAAGUUACGCUAAUACCGCAUACGAUCUACGGAUGAAAGCGGGGGAUCGCAAGACCUCGCGCGAAUGGAGCGGCCGAUAUCAGAUUAGGUAGUUGGUGGGGUAAAAGGCUCACCAAGCCAACGAUCUGUAGCUGGUCUGAGAGGACGACCAGCCACACUGGAACUGAGACACGGUCCAGACUCCUACGGGAGGCAGCAGUGGGGAAUUUUGGACAAUGGCGCAAGCCUGACU
RNAcentral lists this ribosomal RNA (356 nucleotides) under uncultured bacterium. RNAcentral describes it as "bacterial SSU rRNA". It matches the Rfam family "Bacterial small subunit ribosomal RNA", at positions 30 to 388 of the family's 1533-position model. The record is from RNAcentral.